Molecule: ribosomal RNA, 292 nt
Filed under: uncultured bacterium
Lineage: Bacteria
Description: partial 16S ribosomal RNA
Rfam family: Bacterial small subunit ribosomal RNA
Source: RNAcentral
GUGACAGCAGCCGCGGUAAAACGUAGGAUCCGAGCGUUAUCCGAAUUCACUGGGCGUAAAGCGCGUGUAGGCGGUCUUAUAAGUUGGAUGUGAAAUCUCCUGGCUCAACUAGGAGAGGCCGUUCAAUACUGUAAGACUAGAGGGCAGUAGAGGGAGGUGGAAUUCCCGGUGUAGUGGUGAAAUGCGUAGAUAUCGGGAGGAACACCAGUGGCGAAGGCGGCCUCCUGGACUGUACCUGACGCUCAGACGCGAAAGCUAGGGGAGCGAACGGGAUUAGAAACCCCGGUAGUCC